Molecule: ribosomal RNA, 493 nt
Filed under: uncultured bacterium
Lineage: Bacteria
Description: partial 16S ribosomal RNA
Rfam family: Bacterial small subunit ribosomal RNA
Source: RNAcentral
GACGAACGCUGGCGGCGUGCUUAACACAUGCAAGUCGAACGGUGAAGGGACCGGUUUUUGCUGGUUCUGGAUGAGUGGCGAACGGGUGAGUAACACGUGAGUAACCUGCCCCCUUCUUCUGGAUAACCGCAUGAAAGUGUGGCUAAUACGGGAUAUUCUGCGCCUGCUGCAUGGUGGGUGUGGGAAAGAUAUUGUUUCGGUGGGGGAUGGGCUCGCGGCCUAUCAGCUUGUUGGUGGGGUGAUGGCCUACCAAGGCGGUGACGGGUAGCCGGCCUGAGAGGGUGGACGGUCACACUGGGACUGAGACACGGCCCAGACUCCUACGGGAGGCAGCAGUGGGGAAUACUGCACAAUGGGCGCAAGCCUGAUGCAGCGACGCCGCGGGAGGGAUGGAGGCCUUCGGGUUGUAAACCUCUUUCGCCAGUGAAGCAGGCCUGUCCCUUUUGUGGGUGGGUUGACGGUAGCUGGAGAAGAAGCGCCGGCUAACUACGUG